AUUGAACGCUGGCGGUAGGCUUAACACAUGCAAGUCGAACGGUAGCAGCUCUAGCUUGCUAGAGGCUGACGAGUGGCGGACGGGUGAGUAACGCGUAGGAAUCUACCUAAUAGUGGGGGACAACCUGGUGAAAACCAGGCUAAUACCGCAUACGCCCUACGGGGGAAAGCGGGGAGUCUUCGGACCUCGCGCUAUUAGAUGAGCCUGCGUUAGAUUAGCUAGUUGGUGGGGUAAAGGCUCACCAAGGCGACGAUCUAUAGCUGGUCUGAGAGGAUGAUCAGCCACACUGGGACUGAGACACGGCCCAGACUCCUACGGGAGGCAGCAGUGGGGAAUAUUGCGCAAUGGGCGAAAGCCUGACGCAGCCAUACCGCGUGUGUGAAGAAGGGUUUAGGCUCGUAAAGCACUUUAAGUAGGGAGGAAGGCCUAAAGUUUAAUACGCUUUAGGAUUGACGUUACCUACAGAAUAAGCACCGGCUAACUCCGUGCCAGCAGCCGCGGUAAAG
RNAcentral lists this ribosomal RNA (506 nucleotides) under uncultured bacterium. RNAcentral describes it as "bacterial SSU rRNA". It matches the Rfam family "Bacterial small subunit ribosomal RNA", at positions 30 to 525 of the family's 1533-position model. The record is from RNAcentral.